Mus musculus (house mouse) is the source of this 335-nucleotide non-coding RNA. NCBI's taxonomy places the organism in Eukaryota, Metazoa, Chordata, Mammalia, Rodentia, Muridae. The record is from the annotation of a RefSeq genome assembly.
AUGUUACUGCUUCUAUUACUUCUGGGGCCUGGCUGUGGGCUUGGAGCACUCGUCUAUCAAUAUCCCAGAAGAACCAUCUGUAAGAGUGGAACUUCCAUGAGGAUGGAGUGUCAAGCUGUGGGUUUUCAGGCAACUUCUGUAGCUUGGUAUCGUCAAUCGCCUCAAAAGACAUUUGAACUGAUAGCACUUUCUACUGUGAACUCAGCAAUCAAAUAUGAACAAAAUUUUACCCAGGAAAAAUUUCCCAUCAGUCAUCCCAACUUAUCCUUUUCAUCUAUGACAGUUUUAAAUGCAUAUCUUGAAGACAGAGGCUUAUAUCUCUGUGGUGCUAGGGA